CCAAAUGGAUACUUCUAUUGGAUGUUUGAUAGCUAAAUCGUAAUGAUAUCAGAAAUUAUUAAAAAUGGGAACUUAUAAACUCGAAGAAAUGAGAAAAAUGACAGAAAGGCAUUGAAAAUACCAUCGCUUGGAUGUGAAAAAUAUGGGACGAAAGAAAAGAAGAUUUAAGCAAAGACCAUUGAAAAAUAAUCCAGUAAGACAAAGCUCUAGAAAGUACUAUAUACAAAAUUUCGUCAACCAUGUAGGUAACCACUGCCUUUGGGAAAAUUUUGCAGUGACAUCCCGCAAGGCACAACCCAAAAAAACCCACCAACUCCACCAAUCACAACUGCGAAAUCUAUGCCAUUUCCUCAAAAGAAUUCCUAUCAGCAUCUUGCCAUCUUCAAAUUUAUCCACAAAUCGUAUAUUGGUCGAUCAAAAGAAUGCUUUUCAAAUCAAAAGAAGGCAUUCAUCGUCCUUCAUGAAGAUCUUCCGAGAAAACUGCCGUUCGAGAGAUGUUGUCAUUAUCAAAGGCACUUAGACCUGAGUAAGGACCCGAGGAAAAUAUUGAGGAUGUUCCAUCGGACUCGAAGGUAGUAGACGACUGUCUCAUGUUCGGCCGGGUGUUAGAAGCUGACAUAGAAUCCUGAUAUUCUGUGACACGCUGUACCAUUUUAAGUGACUGAACCACUUCACCCAUUGUCGGUCGUUGGUUUGCCUCCGGAGCAACACAAGCUGCUGCAAUGGUGCAAACGCGUACAAAAUCUUCUUUUGGAUAUUUUCCCCCAAGCCUUGUAUCAGCAAGCUCUUCUAGCCUAUCUUUGUCUCUAAGGAUCGGCCUGGCCUGGAAAUGCAACCAAUUGUCUCAACUAGCCCAAUUUUAUAUUUAUAUAUAUGAUAAAGAAAUAUUUUUCAAUCAUUACAAAGGAACAAUAUGUAACCAGAUUAGGCUUACUAACCCAAGUGACCAGAUUUUCCUGCCCAGAUGGUUGUGACAUAUCUACAGGUUUCCUUCCUGUCAGCAACUCAAGGAGGACAACUCCAUAGCUGUAAACGUCACUUUUUACUAGUAGAUUAUACUUUUCCAAUGUCAAGAAGGUACUUAAAUGCUAAACUCUCAAAUAAUAUUUUGAUAAUCAUUUUGACGAGCCAAAUGGAUACUUCUAUUGGAUGUUUGAUAGCUAAAUCGUAAUGAUAUCAGAAAUUAUUAAAAAUGGGAACUUAUAAACUCGAAGAAAUGAGAAAAAUGACAGAAAGGCAUUGAAAAUACCAUCGCUUGGAUGUGAAAAAUAUGGGACGAAAGAAAAGAAGAUUUAAGCAAAGACCAUUGAAAAAUAAUCCAGUAAGACAAAGCUCUAGAAAGUACUAUAUACAAAAUUUCGUCAACCAUGUAGGUAACCACUGCCUUUGGGAAAAUUUUGCAGUGACAUCCCGCAAGGCACAACCCAAAAAAACCCACCAACUCCACCAAUCACAACUGCGAAAUCUAUGCCAUUUCCUCAAAAGAAUUCCUAUCAGCAUCUUGCCAUCUUCAAAUUUAUCCACAAAUCGUAUAUUGGUCGAUCAAAAGAAUGCUUUUCAAAUCAAAAGAAGGCAUUCAUCGUCCUUCAUG
RNAcentral lists this long non-coding RNA (1591 nucleotides) under Jatropha curcas. Its description in RNAcentral is "long non-coding RNA (JCUR_LNC002492)". Lineage: Eukaryota; Viridiplantae; Streptophyta; Magnoliopsida; Malpighiales; Euphorbiaceae. The record is from RNAcentral.